GGGGUUGUGGCUCAGUGGAAGAGCACUUGCCUAGCAUGUAUGAGGCACUAGGUUCAAUUCUCAGCACCA
This 69-nucleotide transfer RNA is filed under the name Ictidomys tridecemlineatus (thirteen-lined ground squirrel). RNAcentral's name for it is "Spermophilus tridecemlineatus (thirteen-lined ground squirrel) tRNA". It matches the Rfam family "tRNA". Rfam says of the family: Transfer RNA (tRNA) molecules are approximately 80 nucleotides in length. Their secondary structure includes four short double-helical elements and three loops (D, anti-codon, and T loops). The record is from Rfam by way of RNAcentral. Lineage: Eukaryota; Metazoa; Chordata; Mammalia; Rodentia; Sciuridae.